GUGGCGAAAGCGGCUCUNUGGUCUGUCACUGACGCUGAGGCUCGAAAGCGUGGGUAGCGAACAGGAUUAGAUACCCUGGUAGUNCACGCCGUAAACGAUGAGUGCUAGGUGUUAGGCCCUUUCCGGGGCUUAGUGCCGGAGCUAACGCAAUAAGCACUCCGCCUGGGGAGUACGACCGCAAGGUUGAAACUCAAAGGAAUUGACGGGGGCCCGCACAAGCGGUGGAGCAUGUGGUUUAAUUCGAAGCAACGCGAAGAACCUUACCAGGUCUUGACAUCCCGAUGCUAUUCUUAGAGAUAGGAAGUUACUUCGGUACAUCGGAGACAGGUGGUGCAUGGUUGUCGUCAGCUCGUGUCGUGAGAUGUUGGGUUAAGUCCCGCAACGAGCGCAGCCCUUAUUGUUAGUUGCCAUCAUUAAGUUGGGCACUCUAGCGAGACUGCCGGUAAUAAACCGGAGGAAGGUGGGGAUGACGUCAAAUCAUCAUGCCCCUUAUGACCUGGGCUACACACGUGCUACAAUGGUCGGUACAAUGAGUUGCGAGCCGGUGACGGCAAGCUAAUCUCUGAAAGCCGAUCUCAGUUCGGAUUGGAGGCUGCAACUCACCUCCAUGAAGUCGGAAUCGCUAGUAAUCGCGGAUCAGCACGCCGCGGUGAAUACGUUCCCGGGCCUUGUACACACCGCCCGUCACACCACGAGAGUUUGUAACACCCGAAGUCGGUGAGGUAACCUUUUAGGGGCCAGCCGCCUAAGGUGGGANGGAU
Molecule: ribosomal RNA, 761 nt
Filed under: uncultured bacterium
Lineage: Bacteria
Description: bacterial SSU rRNA
Rfam family: Bacterial small subunit ribosomal RNA
Source: RNAcentral